RNAcentral lists this ribosomal RNA (249 nucleotides) under uncultured bacterium. RNAcentral describes it as "partial 16S ribosomal RNA". It matches the Rfam family "Bacterial small subunit ribosomal RNA", at positions 99 to 334 of the family's 1533-position model. The record is from RNAcentral.
CGCACGGGUGAGUAACGCGUAGGUAAUCUACCCUAAUAUUUGGGAUAACAUUGGGAAACUGGUGCUAACACCGAAUACCCUUCUUUUCUGUCGGGUUGAGGAGGAAAGGUGGCCUCUUCAUGAAAGCUACCGUAUAAGGAUGAGCCUGCGUACCAUUAGCUAGUAGGUGGGGUAAAGGCCCACCUAGGCUACGAUGGUUAGCGGGUCUGAGAGGAUGAUCCGCCACACUGGAACUGGAACACGGACCAG